CGUAGGGUGCAGGCGUUAAUCGGAAUUACUGGGCGUAAAGCGUGCGCAGGCGGUUUGCUAAGAGAGAUGUGAAAUCCCCGGGCUUAACCUGGGAACUGCGUUUCUAACUGGUAGGCUUGAGUGUGGCAGAGGGGGUGGAAUUCCACGUGUAGCAGUGAAAUGCGUAGAGAUGUGGAGGAACACCGAUGGCGAAGGCAGCCCCCUGGGCUAACACUGACGCUCAUGCACGAAAGCGUGGGAGCAAACAGGAUU
RNAcentral lists this ribosomal RNA (252 nucleotides) under uncultured bacterium. Its description in RNAcentral is "partial 16S ribosomal RNA". It matches the Rfam family "Bacterial small subunit ribosomal RNA", at positions 526 to 779 of the family's 1533-position model. The record is from RNAcentral.